GUCCACGCCGUAAACGAUGGGUGCUAGGUGUGGGAGGUGUCAACUCCUUCCGUGCCGUAGCUAACGCAUUAAGCACCCCGCCUGGGGAGUACGGCCGCAAGGCUAAAACUCAAAGGAAUUGACGGGGACCCGCACAAGCAGCGGAGCAUGUGGUUUAAUUCGAUGCAACGCGAAGAACCUUACCAGGGCUUGACAUGCACUGGAAAUCCGUAGAAAUACGGCCCUCCUUCGGGACCAGUGCACAGGUGGUGCAUGGCUGUCGU
RNAcentral lists this ribosomal RNA (263 nucleotides) under uncultured bacterium. RNAcentral's name for it is "partial 16S ribosomal RNA". It matches the Rfam family "Bacterial small subunit ribosomal RNA", at positions 793 to 1055 of the family's 1533-position model. The record is from RNAcentral.